This 1372-nucleotide ribosomal RNA is filed under the name uncultured bacterium. RNAcentral describes it as "bacterial SSU rRNA". It matches the Rfam family "Bacterial small subunit ribosomal RNA", at positions 28 to 1381 of the family's 1533-position model. The record is from RNAcentral.
GAUGAACGCUGGCGGCGUGCCUAAUACAUGCAAGUCGAGCGAACGGACGAGAAGCUUGCUUCUCUGAUGUUAGCGGCGGACGGGUGAGUAACACGUGGAUAACCUACCUAUAAGACUGGGAUAACUUCGGGAAACCGGAGCUAAUACCGGAUAAUAUUUUGAACCGCAUGGUUCAAAAGUAAAAGACGGUCUUGCUGUCACUUAUAGAUGGAUCCGCGCUGCAUUAGCUAGUUGGUAAGGUAACGGCUUACCAAGGCAACGAUGCAUAGCCGACCUGAGAGGGUGAUCGGCCACACUGGAACUGAGACACGGUCCAGACUCCUACGGGAGGCAGCAGUAGGGAAUCUUCCGCAAUGGGCGAAAGCCUGACGGAGCAACGCCGCGUGAGUGAUGAAGGCCUUCGGAUCGUAAAACUCUGUUAUUAGGGAAGAAUAUAUGUGUAAGUAACUGUGCACAUCUUGACGGUACCUAAUCAGAAAGCCACGGCUAACUACGUGCCAGCAGCCGCGGUAAUACGUAGGUGGCAAGCGUUAUCCGGAAUUAUUGGGCGUAAAGCGCGCGUAGGCGGUUUUUUAAGUCUGAUGUGAAAGCCCACGGCUCAACCGUGGAGGGUCAUUGGAAACUGGAAAACUUGAGUGCAGAAGAGGAAAGUGGAAUUCCAUGUGUAGCGGUGAAAUGCGCAGAGAUAUGGAGGAACACCAGUGGCGAAGGCGACUUUCUGGUCUGUAACUGACGCUGAUGUGCGAAAGCGUGGGGAUCAAACAGGAUUAGAUACCCUGGUAGUCCACGCCGUAAACGAUGAGUGCUAAGUGUUAGGGGGUUUCCGCCCCUUAGUGCUGCAGCUAACGCAUUAAGCACUCCGCCUGGGGAGUACGACCGCAAGGUUGAAACUCAAAGGAAUUGACGGGGACCCGCACAAGCGGUGGAGCAUGUGGUUUAAUUCGAAGCAACGCGAAGAACCUUACCAAAUCUUGACAUCCUUUGACAACUCUAGAGAUAGAGCCUUCCCCUUCGGGGGACAAAGUGACAGGUGGUGCAUGGUUGUCGUCAGCUCGUGUCGUGAGAUGUUGGGUUAAGUCCCGCAACGAGCGCAACCCUUAAGCUUAGUUGCCAUCAUUAAGUUGGGCACUCUAAGUUGACUGCCGGUGACAAACCGGAGGGAGGUGGGGAUGACGUCAAAUCAUCAUGCCCCUUAUGAUUUGGGCUACACACGUGCUACAAUGGACAAUACAAAGGGCAGCGAAACCGCGAGGUCAAGCAAAUCCCAUAAAGUUGUUCUCAGUUCGGAUUGUAGUCUGCAACUCGACUACAUGAAGCUGGAAUCGCUAGUAAUCGUAGAUCAGCAUGCUACGGUGAAUACGUUCCCGGGUCU